AAAUUGAAGAGUUUGAUCAUGGCUCAGAUUGAACGCUGGCGGCAGGCCUAACACAUGCAAGUCGAACGGUAACAGGAAACAGCUUGCUGUUUCGCUGACGAGUGGCGGACGGGUGAGUAAUGUCUGGGAAACUGCCUGAUGGAGGGGGAUAACUACUGGAAACGGUAGCUAAUACCGCAUAAUGUCGCAAGACUAAAGAGGGGGACCUUCGGGCCUCUUGCCAUCGGAUGUGCCCAGAUGGGAUUAGCUAGUAGGUGGGGUAACGGCUCACCUAGGCGACGAUCCCUAGCUGGUCUGAGAGGAUGACCAGCCACACUGGAACUGAGACACGGUCCAG
This 337-nucleotide ribosomal RNA is filed under the name Shigella sonnei. RNAcentral's name for it is "bacterial SSU rRNA". It matches the Rfam family "Bacterial small subunit ribosomal RNA", at positions 1 to 334 of the family's 1533-position model. Lineage: Bacteria; Pseudomonadati; Pseudomonadota; Gammaproteobacteria; Enterobacterales; Enterobacteriaceae. The record is from RNAcentral.